AAUAUUGGACAAUGGGCGAAAGCCUGAUCCAGCUAUGCUGCGUGUGUGAAGAAGGUCUUCGGAUUGUAAAGCACUUUAAGUUGGGAGGAAGGGUUGUAGGUUAAUACCCUGCAAUUUUGACGUUCACAACAGAAUAAGCACCGGCUACCUUCGUGCAGGAAGCCGCGGUAAUACGAAGGGUGCAAGCGUUAAUCGGAAUUACUGGGCGUAAAGCGCGCGUAGGUGGUUCGUUAAGUUGGAAGUGAAAGCCCCGGGCUUAACCUGGGAAUUGCUUUCAAAACUGACGAGCUAGAGUACGGUAGAGGAUAGUGGAAUUUCCUGUGUAGCGGUGAAAUGCGUAGAUAUAGGAAGGAACAUCAGUGGCGAAGGCGACUACCUGGACUGAUACUGACACUGAGGUGCGAAAGCGUGGGGAGCAAAC
Molecule: ribosomal RNA, 421 nt
Filed under: uncultured bacterium
Lineage: Bacteria
Description: partial 16S ribosomal RNA
Rfam family: Bacterial small subunit ribosomal RNA
Source: RNAcentral